GCCUUCGUGGUGCAGUGGCCAACACGCUCGACGGGUAACCGAGAGGUCCGUGGUUCGAUUCCCGGCGAAGGCG
Molecule: transfer RNA, 73 nt
Filed under: Stegodyphus mimosarum
Lineage: Eukaryota; Metazoa; Arthropoda; Arachnida; Araneae; Eresidae
Rfam family: tRNA
About the family: Transfer RNA (tRNA) molecules are approximately 80 nucleotides in length. Their secondary structure includes four short double-helical elements and three loops (D, anti-codon, and T loops).
Source: Rfam by way of RNAcentral